UCCUGAUUGACUUUGGGUGCUUGCUGUAGAUGCUGAGAGGUGCAAAUGCAGUUUUCUGGAUUGAGCUUCAUAGAUCUCGGCAAAAAAUUACUGCUUACUCUUUGUGGAGAAGACAGCAAGCAGAGGCAAGUCAGAACCUUCUGAACUGGUGAAUCAAUGACCAAGUCUAUGAACAGACCCUAGGGCUCAUCCCAUCCCCACUGAGGCCUCUUGGACAGCCAAACUCUACAGUGGCUGCAGACAGAUGCACCCCUCGAUGUCCCAACACCUAACUGCAAGUGUCACUUCUAACUCCAGGCAUCAGCACCCAUGGAGGAGCUAAGCCAGCUGGAAAGCAGCUCUG
Hirundo rustica (Barn swallow) is the source of this 343-nucleotide long non-coding RNA. RefSeq lists it as uncharacterized. The transcript has 3 exons. NCBI's taxonomy places the organism in Eukaryota, Metazoa, Chordata, Aves, Passeriformes, Hirundinidae. The record is from RefSeq and is a predicted model, not a curated record.